UACGUAGGCAGCAAGCGUUGUUCGGAGUUCCUGGGCGUAAAGGGUGCGCAGGCGGACUUAUAAGUCAGUGGUGAAAUCUCACAGCUUAACUGUGAAACUGCCUUUGAUACUGUAGGUCUUGAAUUAGGGAGAGAUUCGUGGAAUUCCGAGUGUAGCAGUGAAAUGUGUAGAUAUUCGGAAGAACACCAGAGGCGAAGGCAGCGAAUUGGCCCUAUAUUGACGCUCAGGCACGAAAGCAUGGGGAUCAAACAGG
RNAcentral lists this ribosomal RNA (253 nucleotides) under uncultured bacterium. RNAcentral describes it as "partial 16S ribosomal RNA". It matches the Rfam family "Bacterial small subunit ribosomal RNA", at positions 524 to 776 of the family's 1533-position model. The record is from RNAcentral.